CAUUUUUAAAAUGUGCUUUUUAAAUUACCAGUUUCUGCUGUCUUUUUAUGUGUCUUCCACUCCCUGGCAUUUUAAAAUUAUAUGUUACUGCUGGGUAUGGUUUUUAACUCCUUUUUAUAAAUGCUUUUGUGUUUCUCAUUGUUCAGUUCUGUUAAUUUUAUUUUGUUGCAAUAUUAUAUAAUGCAGCACCUAAUAAAUUUUGUAAGUGAAUAAUUAAACGUGACUUACUAGGUUUAUAGAUGGCCCCGUUCUCACAUUUCAAAAUCCAUAUCUGCCUACACAUUUCCCUCAACUUCACAACAACCCUGUGAGGUAGUCAUAUAUUAAGCGGUAUGCAAAUGAAAUAAUCAAUUAUUCUCUUUUGACAGCUGGGGAACUGAGGUGGAGAGUGAAUUGCCGAAGGCCGUGCCAAUGAAACUGUGUCUGAACUAGGAUUUGACAAACAAAGUCUCCUCCAGGCAGCAUGUUAUCUACUGACAAUAAUUCAAGGUGGAAAAAAAUAUUCUGUGCUAAACAGAAAAGAUACGAAAGAAACUUGCAUCAGAUUAAGAUUGCAGCUAUUUGCCCUAUUUUUAUUUUUAAUCUAGUGCUGCAGUUGAGUUUUCAAAGCUCUAAUUACCUGGAUAUACUUUACUGCCUUUUACAAAUUCUAAUUUUUGCACAACCCAAUGGAGCAGCUUCUUCAGGAGGAGGAAGAUGACCUAUUUACAUUUCCCCCCUUCAUUGAAACGCAGUCUGAAGGUUUGUUUACCUCAUUGCAUAGCUUGCUUUAACUUCAGUUCUGUUUACACAAUCCAAAUACAGUGGUACCUCGGGUUACAUGCGCUUCAGGUUACAUGCGCUUCAGGUUACAGACUCCGCUAACCCAGAAAUAGUGCUUCAGGUUAAGAACUUUGCUUCAGGUUGAGAACAGAAAUCAUGCAGCAGCAGUGCAGCGGCAGCAGGAGGCCUCAUUAGCUAAAGUGGUGCUUCAGGUUAAGAACAGUUUCAGGUUCAGAACGGACCUCCGGAACGAAUUAAGUACUUAACCCGAGGUACCACUGUAUAAAUUCAGGGGUUCCAAAGAAUCUAAAGAGAGGUGGUGGCAGCAGUGGGGACUGUCUUGACAGCAGCAAUGCGUUCAGUGGUGCCAUUGGGGUAGGACUUUGGGGACAGAAGACCAGGUCCCCACUUAGAAGCAAUAGCAGAAGCCACCCCCGCAAACACAGCAGUGGUGGAUUGCAACAUUUUGAAGUGGACCCGGAGUAAAACCACUAAGUCCAGAGUCUAAAGUAACCUAACUGUACCACUUGAUGUGUUUCUGACAUGACUCAUUUCUUGUGCAAAAAGGAAGGAAAAAACACAUGUUUAACUCCUAGCGAUCGGUUUCUAAGAAUUGAGAUAUGGGUUGGGGGUGGUCUCAAGCCUGCCUGAAAGUUUAACCUGCAAACUCUACCUUCUACUUAACCCCAGGGGUCUAGGAAUUAGGUUGGUCCAAUGGAUUUAUUAGAUGGUCCACUGGGGUGGGGCAGGACAUUAUUAGUAUUAUUACAUUGUCCUAGGGCAGGCUACAAGUAAAACAACAUUAAAAUCAAAACACUAUUACACAAUAUAUAUAUAUUUAAGUUUUAAACAACUUAACAUUACAGAAAUAAGGCGGAUCCUUAAAAUAUACAUCUUGAAAACCAGGAUGAACACCUGCAUCUUCAUAUUCCAUGAAAACUACAAUAAAGGUGCACGUCACACCUGUGUGUGUAUUGCGGUGGGGGGGGGGGAAUUCCACAACUUAAGGGCUGCCACAAAGAAUGCCCUUUCCUGCCUCCCCCGACCACCCCCAAAUUUCAUUAGUUUAUUACUCCUUCAGAUAUUAGGGGUGUAUCUUAUUUCUGUAUGCUUGCCAGUGACCCUUUGCAUUUGGGUUGUGACAUUGUUGACUGUGAGUGGUUUAUAGAAUUGUAGAGUUGGAAGGGACCAUGAGGGUCAUCUAGUCCAACCCCUGCAAUGCAGGAAUCUUUUUGCCCAGCGUGGGGCUCAAACCAUUGACCCUGAGAUUAAGAGUCUCAUGCUCAACCGGCUGAGCUACCUUGUUGCGUGUCUUUAUGUAUGAGUGGCUGAUAGAUGUAAUGUUUGAGGUUGUGAAUGGUUGUUGUGGGUAUGUGGAAUGGAUGGUGAGCGAGAUUGGAUGAAUGAUGGUGUGUUAUUUGAAAUUUUAUGUUAAAUUUCUCUGUAGUGCUCUCCAAUUUAUUAUUAUGUUUAUGGAUAUUUCUAUGUAUUUUGUUAGGUGAACUAUUUGAUAUGGUUUUGUUGUGCUUAUUAUGUAAACCGCUUAGAGAUCCUUUUGAAUAGUAAAGUGGUCAAUAAAUGGAAAUAGUGAUGAUAAUAAUAAUCAAACAGGCAAGCAUGUAUUUCUAGGAACCUCCCAAUGGGGCAAAAUUACACACUUCCUACCCCUGGGGCUCUGUGCCCUCACUAGAGCACUCCCUCCUUCAGCCACAAAGACAAAAAGGGCAACAAAAGGGGGUGUCCCUCUCAGUGUAACCCCAAAGAGUGCUCUGUAGUGGUUGGAUUUAAAAACAAUUACAGGAAAUGUCAUCAGCAACCCACUAUUUUACCCUUCCUGCAUCAGGAGAAUUGUCAGGCGACAAACAGUUUUAAGCUGAUGAUUGUGACGUUUGCUCCCAGUUGGACUUAUCAAGUUUUCAACAGAUUUUUAAAUUGGAUAUUUUUAUCUGUAUGAUUUUUUUUUAAACCAAUUUAUUACCUACCCAAGCUUUAGGGAUGAGGUGGUGGUAGAGAUAAAUAGAUCAAUAAUGAAAGGGAUUUGCGGAGGGCAAGGCAGAAAGAGAUUCUGGAUUCCUGAGAUUCAACCCAGAAGCUUGAAAAAGGUCACAUCAAAAUUGAAAGAUCAAUUUGCUCCAUGGCACCUUCAUCAGUUAUUCAUGAGGCCGGGUGGCAGACACUUAGUAUUCACAAUUUGAGACAUAUCCUUAGACUGGAACAGCCUAUUUAAAUAGUAAAAUUAACUUUUGGGGAAUAUUCCACACAGGUACAACACAGACGAAAUAGCAGGGCAUCUUCGUAAACUUCCGCCUGCUCAGUAUUCAACACUCA
RNAcentral lists this long non-coding RNA (3090 nucleotides) under Podarcis lilfordi (Lilford's wall lizard). The record is from RNAcentral. Lineage: Eukaryota; Metazoa; Chordata; Lepidosauria; Squamata; Lacertidae.